CCUGCCGGCGACCGGCGCACGGGUGAGUAACACGUAUGCAACCUGCCCUCCGCAGGGGGAUAACCCGGAGAAAUCCGGACUAAUACCGCGUGGUACAUCUGUGGGGCAUCCCACGGGUGUUAAAAGGAAGCGAUUCCGGCGGAGGAUGGGCAUGCGGCGCAUUAGCUAGUUGGCGGGGUAACGGCCCACCAAGGCGACGAUGCGUAGGGGUUCUGAGAGGAAGGUCCCCCACACUGGUACUGAGACACGGACCAGACUCCUACGGGAGGCAGCAG
This 275-nucleotide ribosomal RNA is filed under the name uncultured bacterium. RNAcentral's name for it is "partial 16S ribosomal RNA". It matches the Rfam family "Bacterial small subunit ribosomal RNA", at positions 84 to 354 of the family's 1533-position model. The record is from RNAcentral.